This 1371-nucleotide ribosomal RNA is filed under the name uncultured bacterium. RNAcentral's name for it is "16S ribosomal RNA". It matches the Rfam family "Bacterial small subunit ribosomal RNA", at positions 29 to 1381 of the family's 1533-position model. The record is from RNAcentral.
AUGAACGCUGGCGGCGUGCCUAAUACAUGCAAGUCGAGCGAACGGACGAGAAGCUUGCUUCUCUGAUGUUAGCGGCGGACGGGUGAGUAACACGUGGAUAACCUACCUAUAAGACUGGGAUAACUUCGGGAAACCGGAGCUAAUACCGGAUAAUAUUUUGAACCGCAUGGUUCAAAAGUGAAAGACGGUCUUGCUGUCACUUAUAGAUGGAUCCGCGCUGCAUUAGCUAGUUGGUAAGGUAACGGCUUACCAAGGCAACGAUGCAUAGCCGACCUGAGAGGGUGAUCGGCCACACUGGAACUGAGACACGGUCCAGACUCCUACGGGAGGCAGCAGUAGGGAAUCUUCCGCAAUGGGCGAAAGCCUGACGGAGCAACGCCGCGUGAGUGAUGAAGGUCUUCGGAUCGUAAAACUCUGUUAUUAGGGAAGAACAUAUGUGUAAGUAACUGUGCACAUCUUGACGGUACCUAAUCAGAAAGCCACGGCUAACUACGUGCCAGCAGCCGCGGUAAUACGUAGGUGGCAAGCGUUAUCCGGAAUUAUUGGGCGUAAAGCGCGCGUAGGCGGUUUUUUAAGUCUGAUGUGAAAGCCCACGGCUCAACCGUGGAGGGUCAUUGGAAACUGGAAAACUUGAGUGCAGAAGAGGAAAGUGGAAUUCCAUGUGUAGCGGUGAAAUGCGCAGAGAUAUGGAGGAACACCAGUGGCGAAGGCGACUUUCUGGUCUGUAACUGACGCUGAUGUGCGAAAGCGUGGGGAUCAAACAGGAUUAGAUACCCUGGUAGUCCACGCCGUAAACGAUGAGUGCUAAGUGUUAGGGGGUUUCCGCCCCUUAGUGCUGCAGCUAACGCAUUAAGCACUCCGCCUGGGGAGUACGACCGCAAGGUUGAAACUCAAAGGAAUUGACGGGGACCCGCACAAGCGGUGGAGCAUGUGGUUUAAUUCGAAGCAACGCGAAGAACCUUACCAAAUCUUGACAUCCUUUGACAACUCUAGAGAUAGAGCUUUCCCCUUCGGGGGACAAAGUGACAGGUGGUGCAUGGUUGUCGUCAGCUCGUGUCGUGAGAUGUUGGGUUAAGUCCCGCAACGAGCGCAACCCUUAAGCUUAGUUGCCAUCAUUAAGUUGGGCACUCUAAGUUGACUGCCGGUGACAAACCGGAGGAAGGUGGGGAUGACGUCAAAUCAUCAUGCCCCUUAUGAUUUGGGCUACACACGUGCUACAAUGGACAAUACAAAGGGCAGCGAAACCGCGAGGUCAAGCAAAUCCCAUAAAGUUGUUCUCAGUUCGGAUUGUAGUCUGCAACUCGACUACAUGAAGCUGGAAUCGCUAGUAAUCGUAGAUCAGCAUGCUACGGUGAAUACGUUCCCGGGUCU